CACGUAGGGCGCGAGCGUUGUCCGGAAUUAUUGGGCGUAAAGAGCUCGUAGGCGGCCUGUUGCGUCCGCUGUGAAAGCCCGGGGCUUAACCCCGGGUCUGCAGUGGAUACGGGCAGGCUAGAGGUAGGUAGGGGAGAAUGGAAUUCCCGGUGUAGCGGUGAAAUGCGCAGAUAUCAGGAGGAACACCGAUGGCGAAGGCAGGUCUCUGGGCCACUACUGACGCUGAGAAGCGAAAGCAUGGGGAGCGAACAGG
RNAcentral lists this ribosomal RNA (253 nucleotides) under uncultured bacterium. Its description in RNAcentral is "partial 16S ribosomal RNA". It matches the Rfam family "Bacterial small subunit ribosomal RNA", at positions 524 to 776 of the family's 1533-position model. The record is from RNAcentral.